UUCGGUGCUAGUGGCAGACGGGUGAGUAACACGUGGGAACGUACCUUUCGGUUCGGAAUAAUCCAGGGAAACUUGGACUAAUACCGGAUACGCCCUUCGGGGGAAAGAUUUAUCGCCGAUAGAUCGGCCCGCGUCUGAUUAGCUAGUUGGUGAGGUAAUGGCUCACCAAGGCGACGAUCAGUAGCUGGUCUGAGAGGAUGAUCAGCCACAUUGGGACUGAGACACGGCCCAAACUCCUACGGGAGGCAGCAGUGGGGAAUAUUGGACAAUGGGCGCAAGCCUGAUCCAGCCAUGCCGCGUGAGUGAUGAAGGCCUUAGGGUUGUAAAGCUCUUUUGUCCGGGAAGAUAAUGACUGUACCGGAAGAAUAAGCCCCGGCUAACUUCGUGCCAGCAGCCGCGGUAAUACGAAGGGGGCUAGCGUUGCUCGGAAUCACUGGGCGUAAAGGGCGCGUAGGCGGACUCUUAAGUCGGGGGUGAAAGCCCAGGGCUCAACCCUGGAAUAGCCUUCGAUACUGAGAGUCUUGAGUUCGGAAGAGGUUGGUGGAAUUGCGAGUGUAGAGGUGAAAUUCG
Molecule: ribosomal RNA, 570 nt
Filed under: bacterium RBM-E21
Lineage: Bacteria
Description: bacterial SSU rRNA
Rfam family: Bacterial small subunit ribosomal RNA
Source: RNAcentral